UGCCCUGAAAUUACUCGCUGCUCAGG
Molecule: non-coding RNA, 26 nt
Filed under: Homo sapiens (human)
Lineage: Eukaryota; Metazoa; Chordata; Mammalia; Primates; Hominidae
Source: RNAcentral